Molecule: ribosomal RNA, 253 nt
Filed under: uncultured bacterium
Lineage: Bacteria
Description: partial 16S ribosomal RNA
Rfam family: Bacterial small subunit ribosomal RNA
Source: RNAcentral
UACAGAGGGUGCAAGCGUUGUUCGGAAUUAUUGGGCGUAAAGGGCGCGUAGGUGGCGCGGGAAGUCAACGGUGAAAGUUCGGGGCUCAACCCUGAAUCGGCCGUCGAUACUCCCGGGCUCGAGCACUGUAGAGGCAGAUGGAAUUCCGGGUGUAGCGGUGGAAUGCGUAGAGAUCCGGAAGAACACCGGUGGCGAAGGCGGUCUGCUGGGCAGUUGCUGACACUGAGGCGCGACAGCGUGGGGAGCAAACAGG